Long non-coding RNA from Myotis myotis, 583 nucleotides. RefSeq lists it as uncharacterized. The record is from RefSeq and is a predicted model, not a curated record. The transcript has 4 exons. NCBI's taxonomy places the organism in Eukaryota, Metazoa, Chordata, Mammalia, Chiroptera, Vespertilionidae.
GAGGGUUUAAAAAAGAAGAAGAAGAAGAAGAAGAAGAAACUCUGUUUUGUGUACUCAAAACUUCUCAGAUGCAAACAUCAGUGGGAAUUGUACCCACACAAGCAAUUGCAAUGGGCCCCACUUCAUAUUCUGAAAAACGCAAACUGAUACAGCAGCAGCUGGUUCUGCUGCUUCACGCUCAUAAAUGUCAGAGACGAGAACAAGCAAACGGAGAGGUUCGGGCCUGCUCUCUCCCACAUUGUGGAACCAUGAAAAAUGUUUUGAAUCACAUGACACACUGUCAGGCUGGGAAAGCCUGUCAAGUUGCCCAUUGUGCGUCUUCACGACAAAUCAUCUCUCAUUGGAAGAACUGCACACGACAUGACUGUCCUGUUUGCCUCCCUUUGAAAAAUGCCAGUGACAAGUGAAACCAACAAAGUAGUCGAAAACCAGGACUGCAUAUUGGAGACUGCUUUCAAAGAUACCACACAAUGGAGAAAUAUAAAAUAUAAUUUUUACAUAAAAACAUGUUAUUGAAACACAUUAUUGUCUAAACAUACAUCUAAUGUUCAAAAAAGAAUGAAUAAAUCUUGUUUAUCCUUCA